RNAcentral lists this ribosomal RNA (497 nucleotides) under uncultured bacterium. RNAcentral's name for it is "partial 16S ribosomal RNA". It matches the Rfam family "Bacterial small subunit ribosomal RNA", at positions 28 to 507 of the family's 1533-position model. The record is from RNAcentral.
GAUGAACGCUGGCGGCGUGCUUAAUACAUGCAAGUCGAGCGGACAGACGCUGCGCUUGCUCCUCGCACGUUUGCGGCGGACGUGUGUGUCACACGUGUAUACCCCCCCUGUAAGUCUGAUAUAACUUCGGGACAGCGGAGCUAAUACCGUAUAAUAUCUUGAACCGCAUGGUUCAAUGGUGAAAGACGGUUUUUCUGUCACUUCUCGCUGCUUCUCCGCCGCAUGAGAUAGUUGGUAAGGUCACGGCCUACCAAGGCAACCAUGCGUAACCGAACUGAGAGGGGGAUCGGCGACAUUGGAACUGAGACGCGGUCCAGACUACUGAGGGAGGCAGCAGUAGGGAAUCUUCCGCAAUAGGCGGAAGCCUGACGGAGCAACGCCGCGUGAGUGAUGAAGGUCUUGGGAUCGUAAAACUCUGUUAUUAGGGAAGAACAAAUGUGUAAGUAGAUAUGCACGGCUUGACGGUAACUAAUCAGAAAGCCACGGCUAACUACGUG